Non-coding RNA from Nomia melanderi (Alkali bee), 2971 nucleotides. The record is from RefSeq and is a predicted model, not a curated record. NCBI's taxonomy places the organism in Eukaryota, Metazoa, Arthropoda, Insecta, Hymenoptera, Halictidae.
AUGAGGAACGAGGUUAACGAUACCUUACAAAGACCGUCGUCACCGGCACUGUAUAGAAUUUGCGAUGUAUUGUCGGCAAAAACAACAGCAUUUACAUCAUUGUUAUGACCUUCGAUCUAGAAGAAAGACAAACGAAGAAAGCUUGAUGACACAAGAACGUCCGGUAAUGUACGCUUGUACGCCAAGACACACAUACGAACCCUAAAGGCACGUUGAUGACAUUCUCUGUCGUAGACGUAGAGAUAACCGUCGUUUGCUCCACCCAGAAUUUCUCGGCCGUCGCUAGAAAAGACAAGAGAAAAUACGCAAAACCUUCGAUCCACCGGACACAGAGACAACGAUUCUUGUGCGCACGAGUCUCCGUAAACAGGACACAAAUAUACUGAAAAGAAAGGUGUUGGAAUGUUUUAUGGCUAUAGAGAUCGGUGUAUUGUUUUCGUAGAAACGACUUACGACAUUCCGACCAACUGGAAUAGACGAUAUAGUUGCCAUCGGGACUGAAAGCAGUGUCCAAGAUACUCCAUCCGACGUCUCUUGCAAGAAUCGUCUUGAACUCUAAAAAGUCUCCGUCGUGGGUUCGAUAGAGGCGUAGAAAUUUAUCUACGGUGAACAGAAGGGGUCAGAGAGAAAGCUUAAAGUCGCAGAAUAGGGAUACUAGGUGGGAGCAGCGUUACCUUGACUGGCAGUUAAAAAGAAUCUUCCGUCUUUGGAGUAAGAACCGCAAAACGCUUUAGCACUGUACUUGGCUACUUGGUGCAUUUUAUUUGGCAAGAAACUACUGCUUAUUCUGCAUCUUUCUCCGGUACUGAAACCAGGGCCCAGCGCCCUCCUUUGAAUCAUAGAUGUGACAGAAAUGUUGCGCUUAUCGAUAUCGCUUACAAAUCCACAGGCCUGUUUGGUAGCUAGACUGAUUUCGCUUCUCUGAAAGGAAACGGGCAAUGUAAAACCACGUCGGCGGAGAAUUGUUCCAUGUACAGAACAUUUAAUACGUAGCAACGAACAUCUAAUCUGGAUGUAUUUGGAUAUAAAUGUAAAUGGGAUGUAAAUCUCGGAGAUUGCGAAUUCGCGACGUAUUCUUCGUCCGAGUCAUCGUGAUCCGAGGGUACGAUGUGUAGUUGUCCGCUGGAACGGUUGAACGAAAAGAAUUAGACGUUUGAUUCGCUGGUUUGUUUCGAAGGGAGACGGAUGAAGAGAUUGGGACGUUUGGAUUUGAAAAGUCCCAAGAGAGAAGAGAGAUUUUCUGGAGAUUCGGCAAACCGUUUGAAACGAACAAACGAACAAACGAAUCUGAAGGGAAAUUUCCGUGCGGAAAGGAAGCGAGGAUUCAUCGAAAGAUUCGGAAGAUUGGACUCUGAUUCGAAUGAUCGCGCAGUUUACGAUGAAACGUAGAACGACUAUAAAUUACGUAGAGAGGUUAGAAUUUCUCUCGGUUUCUUUCUCUUUCUCGCACCGAGUGUCUCUCUUUUUCUCUUUCCCAUCCCGAUUCUUGGAGCAUCUCUCUCGCUCUCGGUCGUUCUCUGUCCCUCUGUCUCUCUCUCCAUCCAUCUCCCUGUUACACAUUAACGCGAGCGAACAGAUGUACGCACACACAGUGCGAAAAGAUCCAGGACGAUAUUAAAUGUUUCGACGACGAGAUAACGUUCAACCAACCUGCGUAUCAAGUAUUGCAAGACAGCGGCCAACCCUCGAUCAUGUUCGAUGUCCAUAGUCCGGGAAUUAAUGCCUCCCAUGCAGGGAACAAACGAAUCUUAUUUACCGUCUAAAAGCAAACAAGGAAAACGUCCAAGGGUUGAUGGCGUUAGUGCAGUGACUAUGACAGUUGAAACAGACGAUGACAGGAACGAGUGAGCGCGUGAGAAGUUACCGACGCGGAGGGGAGAAGAAACUGAAUGAAGAUACGCUUCUCGCCAGUACGCCGAAACACGUGAAAACUCGUCGUUACGGAAAUUCGAAUCGAGCGAAAUGUUGGCCUUACAGAUAGUACUAUCUUCCGAAUAAACGCUUUGAAACCUUGGACAAUAAAAAGAGUGCAGAGAUGGUUUCUCGCGUGUUCGUGUGUGUGCACGCGUGUGUCGCGAGGAGGGGAGAAGAGAGAUGGCGCGAACACGGCAUGUCGUUGCAAAACGAUUAAUCUACGCGUUAGUUUUGCUCGGCAAUUUACUCGACUCAAUCGAUAGUUUGAAUAUGAGGUUGCGAUGGGAGAAUAUUCCGAGAAAAAUGCAACGAGUGGACAGUCUAUGUGGGUUUCUACGACGGAUAGAAACGAGCCGUUGCAAGGGACCGGUCGCUGCAAAGUCCACGUACAGUACUAUCGUGUCGAAUUUGAUAGCGCGCGUUAGUUUACGAACUGCAGAACGCGGAAGGCAAUUCGUAAUGAUAAUUCAAGGUCGAACAAUCUGAAAUCCACCGCGAACAACGUACGUAUCAUUGGAAAAAUUGUACGUCAGCGUACAAAGUACUCGAAUCUCCCGUGCUCCCCGUCUUUCCCUCUUUCACGUUUGUGUCCCAUAGCUGUGAUCCGUAACCUGAGAAUCGCAGCCCAUAACCCGAGACACCUGGCAGCUGAACGGCGAUCCGUUAGUUUCCGAAUUCGAGCUCGUAUUCGUACGUAUCUCGUUCGAGCGGAGGUGCGCAAGUUUCGGGUAAUGGUUCGCAGCCUGGCUCGAGCCAGAAUCAGAGUCGGAACGAGAGCUGAAGCCGGGGUCGUGGUCAAAGCCGUAACCGGGAGCGGAGUAUGCGCGCAUGCGUCGCAUUAUCACCUGCUCGCAAGUUUCUCGUUUUCGCAAGAAAUGACGGGAUCGUUGAUUCUUGCGACAUCGACAGCGUCAUUCCCCAGGACGAGAGUAAAGACAAGGAGAGGGUAGAGCGUGCAACAAUUGCGCUAAGCUGAUCGUCGAGGACAGGAUCGGCGGCAACGACGAGGACGACCGCGACACGUCGACGACGUUUACGAACGGAACGAGAGAAAAAG